Cucurbita pepo subsp. pepo (vegetable marrow) is the source of this 83-nucleotide small nucleolar RNA. RefSeq annotates it as small nucleolar RNA snoR117. The record is from RefSeq and is a predicted model, not a curated record. Lineage: Eukaryota; Viridiplantae; Streptophyta; Magnoliopsida; Cucurbitales; Cucurbitaceae.
GGCCUAUGAUGUAGAAAAUUUGUCCGUACCAUCUGAGAAGUAAUUCGAUGGAGCAUUCAAUCAAACAUUAUGUUCUGAGGCCU